AGUGAACGCUGGCGGUAGGCCUAACACAUGCAAGUCGAACGGCAGCACAGUAAGAGCUUGCUCUUACGGGUGGCGAGUGGCGGACGGGUGAGGCAUACAUCGGAAUCUACUUUUUCGUGGGGGAUAACGUAGGGAAACUUACGCUAAUACCGCAUACGACCUACGGGUGAAAGCAGGGGAUCUUCGGACCUUGCGCGAUUGAAUGAGCCGAUGUCGGAUUAGCUAGUUGGCGGGGUAAAGGCCCACCAAGGCGACGAUCCGUAGCUGGUCUGAGAGGAUGAUCAGCCACACUGGAACUGAGACACGGUCCAGACUCCUACGGGAGGCAGCAGUAGGGAAUAUUGGGCAAUGGGCGCAAGCCUGAUCCAGCCAUACCGCGUGGGUGAAGAAGGCCUUCGGGUUGUAAAGCCCUUUUGUUGGGAAAGAAAAGCAGCAGGUUAAUACCCCGCUGUUCUGACGGUACCCAAAGAAUAAGCACCGGCUAACUUCGUG
RNAcentral lists this ribosomal RNA (492 nucleotides) under uncultured bacterium. Its description in RNAcentral is "partial 16S ribosomal RNA". It matches the Rfam family "Bacterial small subunit ribosomal RNA", at positions 29 to 507 of the family's 1533-position model. The record is from RNAcentral.